RNAcentral lists this ribosomal RNA (1426 nucleotides) under Lacticaseibacillus rhamnosus. Its description in RNAcentral is "bacterial SSU rRNA". It matches the Rfam family "Bacterial small subunit ribosomal RNA". Lineage: Bacteria; Bacillati; Bacillota; Bacilli; Lactobacillales; Lactobacillaceae. The record is from RNAcentral.
CGAACGAGUUCUGAUUAUUGAAAGGUGCUUGCAUCUUGAUUUAAUUUUGAACGAGUGGCGGACGGGUGAGUAACACGUGGGUAACCUGCCCUUAAGUGGGGGAUAACAUUUGGAAACAGAUGCUAAUACCGCAUAAAUCCAAGAACCGCAUGGUUCUUGGCUGAAAGAUGGCGUAAGCUAUCGCUUUUGGAUGGACCCGCGGCGUAUUAGCUAGUUGGUGAGGUAACGGCUCACCAAGGCAAUGAUACGUAGCCGAACUGAGAGGUUGAUCGGCCACAUUGGGACUGAGACACGGCCCAAACUCCUACGGGAGGCAGCAGUAGGGAAUCUUCCACAAUGGACGCAAGUCUGAUGGAGCAACGCCGCGUGAGUGAAGAAGGCUUUCGGGUCGUAAAACUCUGUUGUUGGAGAAGAAUGGUCGGCAGAGUAACUGUUGUCGGCGUGACGGUAUCCAACCAGAAAGCCACGGCUAACUACGUGCCAGCAGCCGCGGUAAUACGUAGGUGGCAAGCGUUAUCCGGAUUUAUUGGGCGUAAAGCGAGCGCAGGCGGUUUUUUAAGUCUGAUGUGAAAGCCCUCGGCUUAACCGAGGAAGUGCAUCGGAAACUGGGAAACUUGAGUGCAGAAGAGGACAGUGGAACUCCAUGUGUAGCGGUGAAAUGCGUAGAUAUAUGGAAGAACACCAGUGGCGAAGGCGGCUGUCUGGUCUGUAACUGACGCUGAGGCUCGAAAGCAUGGGUAGCGAACAGGAUUAGAUACCCUGGUAGUCCAUGCCGUAAACGAUGAAUGCUAGGUGUUGGAGGGUUUCCGCCCUUCAGUGCCGCAGCUAACGCAUUAAGCAUUCCGCCUGGGGAGUACGACCGCAAGGUUGAAACUCAAAGGAAUUGACGGGGGCCCGCACAAGCGGUGGAGCAUGUGGUUUAAUUCGAAGCAACGCGAAGAACCUUACCAGGUCUUGACAUCUUUUGAUCACCUGAGAGAUCAGGUUUCCCCUUCGGGGGCAAAAUGACAGGUGGUGCAUGGUUGUCGUCAGCUCGUGUCGUGAGAUGUUGGGUUAAGUCCCGCAACGAGCGCAACCCUUAUGACUAGUUGCCAGCAUUUAGUUGGGCACUCUAGUAAGACUGCCGGUGACAAACCGGAGGAAGGUGGGGAUGACGUCAAAUCAUCAUGCCCCUUAUGACCUGGGCUACACACGUGCUACAAUGGAUGGUACAACGAGUUGCGAGACCGCGAGGUCAAGCUAAUCUCUUAAAGCCAUUCUCAGUUCGGACUGUAGGCUGCAACUCGCCUACACGAAGUCGGAAUCGCUAGUAAUCGCGGAUCAGCACGCCGCGGUGAAUACGUUCCCGGGCCUUGUACACACCGCCCGUCACACCAUGAGAGUUUGUAACACCCGAAGCCGGUGGCGUAACCCUUUUAGGGAGCGA